GCGGCUCCCGGCGGCCCGCGAGUCUCCUGCUGUCGUACGCGGCGGACGUCUGAGGUGCGGGGCGCGGCUCGAGGAUGGAGCCGCUGAAGGUGGAAAAGUUCACGACCGCCGACAAGGGGAACGGGUUGCGUGCCGUGGCCCCGCUGCGCGCCGGAGAGCUGCUGUUCCGCUCGGAUCCCUUGGCGUACACGGUGUGCAAGGGGAGUCGUGGCGUCGUGUGCGACCGCUGCCUGCUCGGAACCCUCAGGAAGGAGCAGAUCGAGUGAGAUAAUUACAGCGAACGAGAAGGCCUGAACUAGAGGCGCAGAUGCUGUGCUUUGGGAGCACGAGUUACUGAGGUUCCGCAGCUUGCUGUGCCAUUAAUAGCUGUGAAGCAUGUCACAAUGGCACCAUGGACACUGGACCCUGGUGCUGCUGCUCUUUGGAAAACUGGUUGUUGCUGGAAAGUUGUUCUCUCAACCAUCCUUCUUCCUGAUAUUACCUUCUGAUUCAAAGUCCUCAGUGGGUGUCUUGGAUUGGCUGAGCUUAGGUCACUGCUUGCACCCCAGCUGCAAGGAAAGUUGAGAAGGAGCUUUGGGAAAAGAACAUUUGGUCCAUGUGAAAGCCACAGGAGAGGAUGUUCUUAAUCAGACAGGAUGACCUGCUUUGUGGAUGGCAGUCAGUUCUCCUUCUCCAGACAGCCUGGUGCUUGUUCAGCACGCUCAAGAACUACCAUGGGGACAGGGAGAGAGGAUGGUGCCUGGAACUCAACAGUACAGACAUCCAUUGCCAUAGCCCUGUGGCUUCUACUGGUAUAGAGUGUCCAGUAUGCUACCUGUAGUAACUGAUUCUGAGUUCCCCAAAUGAGGACACACCUUCUGGACCAGCCGGCCACCUGCUGUCAGGUUUUAAUUUUAGAUCCUUUUGUCAUGGAGGGGGUCAGUGAUUUGUUCUCACUGGAAUACUGUUUUUUUUCUGCACUUGGAUUUGUCUUCUCUGCCUGUACUACCAUCUCUGAGAUGUGCUAAAAAUCUUCUGUAGAGCUGUGGUAUUCCUCAUAAGGUUGCCUCUGACCAGCACAAAAAGAAUUGAAGCUAAUGCCUGUGGUUUUGUCUGUUCUUAACAUACACUGUCAUUUAAGGCAGCCCCUUUACACUCCUAAAAAUUAUUGAAAUGGAUUUAAUAGGAGGGAUUUAAGAAAUGUAAUUGAGGAUGUUAAAGAGGUUUUGUUUAUGUGGGUUAUAUCUAUUGAUAUUUACUGCAUAAAAAAUUAAAACUGAAAAGUUUUGAAAAUACAUA
Molecule: long non-coding RNA, 1278 nt
Organism: Galeopterus variegatus (Sunda flying lemur)
Lineage: Eukaryota; Metazoa; Chordata; Mammalia; Dermoptera; Cynocephalidae
Exons: 4
Source: RefSeq, a predicted model, not a curated record